AUUCAUCCUGCCGCCGUAUCGACCCGCGGCCGACCCCGCGCGGCCAGGCGCCCCCGCCCGCUGCCCUCUCCUUUCCCAGCCCGGCCUCCCCCGCGGGGGCUGUCACCGAGCGCCUGGCACGGCCGGGCCAUGCCCCGGGGAAGGAGGGACCAGGGCCGGGGGCGGGAGCCAGCCCUUGUGCUCGCAGCCCUGGGUUCGGAGCCCAGCUGCCCGGGAAGGUUUCCAGAUCUCCCUGAGCCUCAGUUUCCCCAUCUGUAAACUGGGUGGUGGUGGCUUCGUCCCCCGCUUUGAGAGGACAGCAGGAGAGGCGUCCUGAGAAUGCACAUUUGCGAGCGGGUGAAAAUUUCUGUGAAUGUUUAUAAGCACAUGGAACGGGCAUCUUUGUGGCUGCGGGAGUUGCACGGCUCUCCCGGGCAGUGUCCAUCACACUCAUGGCUUCCUAGACUUCCAUCUCCGGUCUAAUCACCUUCCGAACGCCAGAACCAUCACGUCUGCUGCCCUUGAACACCUCCCCUAGGUGUCCCUGUGGGCCACCCAGGUUCCCUCCACCCCAGUCUUCCCCACCUGCUUCUCCUUCAUGCUUCCCUCUCAGGGAGUUUGAGACCAGGCUGACCAACAUGGAGAAACCCCGACUCUACUAGAAAUACAAAAUCAGCUGGGUGUGGUGGCGCAUGCCUGUAAUCCCAGCUACUCGGGAGGCUGAGGCAGAAUUGCUUGAGCCUGGGAGGCGGAGGUUGCAGUGAGCCGAGAUUGCACCAUUGCACUCCAGCCUGGGCAACAAGAGCAAAACUCCGUCUCAAAAAAAAAAAAAAAAAAAAAGUAAAAGUAAAAGAAAGUCAAUCACCAAUAAUGCUGGAAUAUGUCAACUUUUCUCCCACCUCUUGCCACUGAUCCAGACCCCAUUCCCUCUGCCCGGGUGAUCCCUUAUAGCUACCCAGGGCUGCGGCUUUGCUCCAUUCAAGCCAUUUUCCACGCAGCAGCAGCCAGGGCCGUCUUUCCAGAGUGUAUUAGGUUGGUGCAAAAGUAACUGUGGUUUUUGCAAUUAAAAGUAAUUGUAGGCCAGGCACAGCGGCUCAUGCCUGUAAUCGCAGCACUUUGGGAGGCUAAGACAGUUGGAUCACUUGAGGUCAGGAGUUCGAGACCCACCUGGCCAACAUAGUGAAACCUGGUCUCCACUAAAAAUACAAAAAUUAGCUGGGCAUGGUGGCACACGCCUGUAAUCCCAGCUCCUGGGGGGGUGGGGGGGCAGGGCUGAGGCAGGAGAGUCGCUUGAACCCAGGAGACGACAGCUGCAGUGAGCUGAGAUCACGCCACUGCACUCCAGCCUAGGCGACAGAGUGACUCUGUCUCAAAAAAAAAAAAAAAAAAGGAAUUGCAAAAACCGCAAUUACUUAAUAGAUCUGACCAAGACUCUCCCCAGGUUCAAACCCCGGCUUCAAACCUUUUGCUCCUUAUAGUCUUUUUUUAAAACUCUUAUCUGUGGCUCAUUGUGUCUCAAGACAGCCAAGCAAACCGAACUGCUAGGAAUUUUCCCAAUGGAACAUUCUCUCUGCAAGUCCUUUGCUCUUGCGGUUGCUCCUCCAGGAGCUCCUGCCUCCCUCUUCUCUUCCCUUCCUUGAGGCUCAGCAUGGGAGAGGCCCUGCUGCAGGUGCCCUCUGACCUCUCAGGUAGGGGAGGGGGCCUCUGUCCUCUGCAAACCUGCGCUGAGUGCUCUGGAUGGUUCCGUCCCUUGGAUUGGGCCUCCCCAAGGGCAAGACCCUGCCUGGUUCACCCUGGCCGCUCAUGCAGAGGCCUGCCUAACAUAGCUGCUGAAUGAAUGAAUGAAUGAAUUGAAUUGAAUAAUGGACAAAGCCCAACAGGGAGGGUUAGCAUAAAGGGGAGACAGG
RNAcentral lists this long non-coding RNA (1886 nucleotides) under Homo sapiens (human). RNAcentral's name for it is "non-protein coding lnc-C9orf50-1:5". Lineage: Eukaryota; Metazoa; Chordata; Mammalia; Primates; Hominidae. The record is from RNAcentral.